Long non-coding RNA from Equus caballus (horse), 557 nucleotides. RefSeq lists it as uncharacterized. The record is from RefSeq and is a predicted model, not a curated record. Lineage: Eukaryota; Metazoa; Chordata; Mammalia; Perissodactyla; Equidae.
UUGGUUGUUGUCUAUUGAUGUUGCUGUUGGGUUCCAUGGAAACAGGUUCUAAGAUGGAAAUUUAUGUGCAGUAACAACUUGGAAGGAGUGAAGGAAGCAGGACUGGACAGAAGGUGAACUGCUAACCCCACAGGGACUCUGGACCUGGAUGGAUCAUCAGAGCGUCUUGGACUGAGGCAAGGUGGCUGGGCCUCUGUGCCCCUGCUUCCAUCAGGAGGAAGUCCUCACAGAGCUCACAUAGGAGGGUGAGUAUGAACAGAGGACCAAGGAGCAGACCCUGGGCCUCCGACACUUAAAGGCUGGGCGAGGGAAGAGACGCAGGGAAGGAGACUGAGACGAGGCAGGCGAGGAGGAAGAAACCAGGAGAGUGGUGUUGAGUUCCGGAUGCUCCACCGUGACUUUCAUUUGAUUUUCCCACGGCAGUGCAAACAAAAAGGAAGAUGGCGUGGAGAUAUUGAUUUCAGACGUAGUAUGAAAUGGAAUGAAGGGCUAUUUUAUAUUGAUAAAUGAUCCAACUCGAUGGAGAGAAAAGAUCCACAAUAAAAGUUCUAAAAGUA